ACAUGCAGUCGAACGGUGAAGAGAGCUUGCUCUCUGGAUCAGUGGCGAACGGGUGAGUAACACGUGAGCAAUCUGCCCCUGACUCUGGGAUAAGCGCUGGAAACGGCGUCUAAUACCGGAUACGAGCUGCGAAGGCAUCUUCAGCAGCUGGAAAGAAUUUCGGUCAGGGAUGAGCUCGCGGCCUAUCAGCUAGUUGGUGAGGUAAUGGCUCACCAAGGCGUCGACGGGUAGCCGGCCUGAGAGGGUGACCGGCCACACUGGGACUGAGACACGGCCCAGACUCCUACGGGAGGCAGCAGUGGGGAAUAUUGCACAAUGGGCGCAAGCCUGAUGCAGCAACGCCGCGUGAGGGACGACGGCCUUCGGGUUGUAAACCUCUUUUAGCAGGGAAGAAGCGAAAGUGACGGUACCUGCAGAAAAAGCGCCGGCUAACUACGUGCCAGCAGCCGCGGUAAUACGUAGGGCGCAAGCGUUAUCCGGAAUUAUUGGGCGUAAAGAGCUCGUAGGCGGUUUGUCGCGUCUGCUGUGAAAACCCGAGGCUCAACCUCGGGCCUGCAGUGGGUACGGGCAGACUAGAGUGCGGUAGGGGAGAUUGGAAUUCCUGGUGUAGCGGUGGAAUGCGCAGAUAUCAGGAGGAACACCGAUGGCGAAGGCAGAUCUCUGGGCCGUAACUGACGCUGA
RNAcentral lists this ribosomal RNA (681 nucleotides) under unidentified microorganism. Its description in RNAcentral is "bacterial SSU rRNA". It matches the Rfam family "Bacterial small subunit ribosomal RNA", at positions 53 to 749 of the family's 1533-position model. The record is from RNAcentral.